This is an RNA transcript of Quercus robur (English oak), 2402 nucleotides long. RefSeq lists it as uncharacterized. The transcript is spliced from 9 exons. NCBI's taxonomy places the organism in Eukaryota, Viridiplantae, Streptophyta, Magnoliopsida, Fagales, Fagaceae. The record is from RefSeq and is a predicted model, not a curated record.
CACACUUCACAGUUCACACACAGCUCACUUUUCUUUUGUCCCUCAAAUACUACUACUCUCCCUCUCCCUCUCCCUCUCCCUCUCACACACAAACACCUAACCUAACAAGCCCCCAAACCCAAGCACCACAAAAUCCCCAAAUUCUCAAGAAAACCCUAAAUUGCAAUUCACAUCAAAAUCUCUCACUUCAGAUUACUCCCUUAGCCAUGGACGCUCAACGAGCUCUGCUAGACGAGCUUAUGGGCGCAGCUCGGAAUUUGACGGAGGAAGAGAGAAAAGGGUACAAGGAAAUUACUUGGGACGAUAAGGAGGUUUGUGCUUUCUAUAUGGUUCGGUUUUGUCCGCAUGAUCUCUUCGUCAAUACGAGGAGCGAUCUGGGACCAUGCCCUAGAAUACAUGAUCAGAAGUUGAAAGAAAGUUUUGAGCAGUCUCCAAGACAUGACAAGUACGUGCCGAGAUUUGAAGCUGAGCUUUCUCAGUUUUGUGAAAAGUUGGUGACAGACUUGGAUAGAAGAGUUAGGCGUGGGCGAGAGCGCCUUGCUCAGGAGGUGGAACCCACUCCACCACCUCCACUAUCAGCCGAAAAAUCUGAACAGUUAUCCGUAGUGGAAGAAAAAAUAAAGAAUCUACUGGAACAAGUGGAGACCCUUGGUGAAGCUGGGAAGGUGGAUGAAGCUGAAGCACUCAUGAGAAAGGUGGAGUUGCUUAAUGUUGAGAAGACAGCCUUGACUCAACAACCCCAGACUGAUAAAGUGUUAAUGCUAGCACAGGAGAAAAAGAUGGCUCUGUGUGAGAUAUGUGGUUCUUUUCUUGUAGCAAAUGAUGCUGCUGAGAGGACCCAGUCUCAUGUCACAGGGAAGCAGCACAUUGGUUAUGGCAUGGUCCGGGAUUUCAUAGCAGAGUACAAGGCAGCUAGAGAGAAGGCUAGGGAAGAGGAAAGAUUAGCCAAGGAGAAAGAAGCAGAAGAACGGAAGAAGCAAAGAGAGAAGGAAUCUGAAAGGAGGAGGAGAAGUGAUUCUGGUGACAGGGACAGGGACAGGGACAGGUAUCAUGAUCGUGAUAGAGACAGAGAGCGGGAUAGACACCGAGAACGUGAUAGGUCUAGAGACUGGAAUGCUCGAGGUAGUCGGGAUGGAGGGAGAGGAGUGGAUUGGAGGUUGAGGAACGGAAGAGAAGGUGGCAGAGAUAGGUACCGUGAUCGAAGCAGGUCACGUUCCCCUGUUAGACAUGGUCACUGAAGGGCACCUAGAAGUCCAGUUCGCCCAUAUUAGUGGAUUAUUUCGAUAGAUGUCUGAACAUGUGUUUGAGCUUUGUUGAGACUAUACCAUCUCCCUUUCAUCAAUAUUAUUAAUGGAGAAAAGGGUUGAGAGUAUUUUUAGUGGUCAGACACAAAGUUAUAUGCAUGAUUGACAUUGCUGCUCAGAGAGAUGACGCGGUUUUUUCUCAUUUUUGAGGUAACAAUUAGACCUUAUUUCUAUCAACACAACCCCAUGGAUUGAUAAUUCCUUCUCAGAUUCUCUUCCCCCUUAUUUUAUGGUUCUUAGGUUGAGUUAAACCGGUUUGUUUGCAAAUUCUGCUUAUAUUACCAUAUGUUUGACCUCAUCAAAGUACUCUACCAGUUUGGAAAAUAUUGGAUGAUUUAGUCAAUGCCUUUAAGGCAACACUUAUGGGCCAUCCAGAUAUGGCUUCAUACAAUCCUAUGCAGCGUUUCAUCCUUUCUACAAUGAUCUUUAAGGUAGGAAGACUCAUUCUUUUCUCCCAUCCGUCCCCUGCCCUCACUAUAGUUUUUGAUUCAAAUGAUAACAAGGUGCAUCCAGUAUGCCGUGAAUGGGCAAUUAUUAAGAUGCUAUAGAAAUAAGAGGGACAGCAAUCACUGUAUUUUAUUCUUAUGUGAAAUUUGUUACUUGUUUUACAGAGUUGUGGUUAGUUUUGGAGUUAUCAGGAUCAGACAGGUAUAGGUAAUUUACUUUGUGUUUGCAGAGUGAUUCUUUAUCCGAAAUGUUGUUGCCACAUUCAUGAAAAUCUACUUCAGUGGGCUGGGAUGCGAGACCAUUUUGCAAACAUUAAACUUGCCUGUUUGUAGGUGCCUGGAGGUAACCAAAAAUUAUAAUGUGCAGAAUAGUUUGUUUCCAUUUAGUUUGCAGGAAAAAGGAGGUAAUCUGGUGAUCCUUGAUGGUCAGAUUGCUGCUAGUAAGUAAAUAUAUUAUGCUAAGGAAUGAUUUGCACAGGGAAAACUCCAAAAUGUCUCAAGCAACUUUAUAAGUAAAUAUCUUAAGCAACUUUAGAAGUAGUUGCUGCUUGUGAAAUUAUAUUCUAAGAUAUGGGAAAUGAGAAACCAAAUGUAAUUACAUAUAUUCAACAAAAAAAAGGAAAGGGGUAAUUACAUUUGGAUUGGAAGAUCA